GCUCAGGACGAACGCUGGCGGCGUGCCUAAUACAUGCAAGUCGAACGAGACUUUCAUUGGUGGUAACACCUUUGUCUGUCUAGUGGCGAACGGGUGAGUAACACGUGAGAAACCUGCCCUGAAGACGGGGAUAACAGAAGGAAACUUCUGCUAAUACCCGAUACCCCCACCGGAUCACAUGGUCUGAUGAGGAAAUGGAUUCCGCUUCAGGAGGGUCUCGCGGCCUAUCAGCUUGUUGGUGAGGUAACGGCUCACCAAGGCUUGGACGGGUAGCUGGUCUGAGAGGACGAUCAGCCACACUGGGACUGAGACACGGCCCAGACUCCUACGGGAGGCAGCAGUAAGGAAUAUUGCGCAAUGGGCGAAAGCCUGACGCAGCAACGCCGCGUGCGGGAUGAAGGCCCUCGGGUUGUAAACCGCUUUCAGUAGGGAAGAAAAUGACGGUACCUACAGAAGAAGCCCCGGCCAACUACGUGCCAGCAGCCGCGGUAACACGUAGGGGGCAAGCGUUGUCCGGAUUUAUUGGGCGUAAAGAGCUCGUAGGCGGUUUCGUAAGUCGGAUGUGAAAACUCCAGGCUCAACUUGGAGACGCCAUUCGAUACUGCGAUGACUUGAGUCCGGUAGGGGAGUGUGGAAUUCCUGGUGAAGCGGUGAAAUGCGCAGAUAUCAGGAGGAACACCGGCGGCGAAGGCGGCACUCUGGGCCGGUACUGACGCUGAGGAGCGAAAGCGUGGGUAGCAAACAGGAUUAGAUACCCUGGUAGUCCACGCCGUAAACGGUGGGCACUAGGUGUGGGAUUCACUCAACGGAUUCCGUGCCGCAGCUAACGCAUUAAGUGCCCCGCCUGGGGAGUACGGCCG
This 860-nucleotide ribosomal RNA is filed under the name uncultured bacterium. RNAcentral's name for it is "bacterial SSU rRNA". It matches the Rfam family "Bacterial small subunit ribosomal RNA", at positions 22 to 888 of the family's 1533-position model. The record is from RNAcentral.